Long non-coding RNA from Gossypium arboreum, 1084 nucleotides. RefSeq lists it as uncharacterized. NCBI's taxonomy places the organism in Eukaryota, Viridiplantae, Streptophyta, Magnoliopsida, Malvales, Malvaceae. The record is from RefSeq and is a predicted model, not a curated record. The transcript is spliced from 3 exons.
CAUUAUCGUUAGGACCUGACACUCCAUUACAGGGCCACCUUCACGUUUCCUCCUUAUACGUUGCAUUUGCUUACCCAAGUUAAUGGAAAGGAAGAACUAAAGAAACUAUACUCAAGAAGACACCUUCUAGUGGAAGAAAACAAAAGAUCCUCAUCAAUGGUAGCCAUGUUUAUAGCAAAGUGUUCACUCAAAGGCUCAAACUCUUUCUUUCUUUCUUUCACUUAAUCUUCUUGCAAAGUCUCAGGAAUAUGCUUCACUACCACCUCGUCCAAACACUUAGAGGUAAAAAAUUAUGCAUAUAGAUGAAGAAAAAGACCCGAAAACCAAUGAAGAUGUCACGGAAGGAGCAAAGGUGAAAAUGAAAGAAGUAACUAAUAGAGUGCGGAGACAGCCUGAAACAACAAAGAGAAGGCCAAAGAAGGAAUGGAGAGGAAAUUUUAGAAACUGCAUACGAACUGAAAGACAAUACAAAAUAAAAAUAAAAAAAACAAAUGGUGUGAAGAAGAUAAAACCAUCCCAAAGGAUUGUGGAAGUGAAACGCAUACGAGGCUUUUGGGGUUUAAUAGCUUUUAUGCAAUUGAUCAGGACUGGAUAAACAUAAAAGUAUAAAUAAACAAAAAUCGGCUUAUAACCGAGUAUGAUACGCUAGUAAUACUUGGUUGUUUGUGAUCGUAUCAAUAGCUCAAUUAACAUUUGCUACACAUAUAUCAAUUUGAUCAUAUUAUAUUUGCUUUUGAGCAGGUGAAAAGUACUAUCUAUGGCUUAGAGGAUUAUACAAGGGAGGCAACAACUAUUGAUCCUCGAGAGACAGUGUGUGUUUUCUGAGAAAGGUUCCAUUGUACUGUCAAUGGUAUCUUAUGAUUAUUUUAGUUAUGGCAUCUCGUUACACAAUGCUUAAGAAUAAAAUUCACACAAACGUUGUUCAUAACUCCACAAGACAAAGAUUACUUUGCCGAACUCUAUUCCAGAUAAUCAUGCAAUUACGAUGACCCACUCUUUUAUCUUCAUACACUGUAUUGUUAGAUAUUUGUGUCCUCUCUGUUUUCUUUGUUAGGGGAUUGUAUGAAAUUGUUAUUUCACGUGA